This is a long non-coding RNA of Cyprinus carpio (common carp), 1874 nucleotides long. The record is from Ensembl. Lineage: Eukaryota; Metazoa; Chordata; Actinopteri; Cypriniformes; Cyprinidae.
UUUAUUUUGUAAAUGUGUUUAAAUCAUUAAUAUUUUCAGAAUGAUCUCUCGUCCUUCAGCAGGGAAGUGAAUCUCGCUGACUCACCUCAUGUUUUAAGUGAUUGACUGUUUGCUGUGAACGUCACACUUUUAUGUUCACAGACUGUAGAGCUAGUCAUAAACUCACGGUCAAUGUUAUCAACGAUCAGCUGAUCAAGAAAACUUAAAGAGAGAACUGUGAGACCAAACACUGUUGGUUUUUUGGAUAAACCAGGUUAAAAGAUGAAAUUAACCAAGACAAAAACAAACUGGCUUCUCAUAUUGAUUCUUGCAUUUCACAUGACUUCUUCAGAAGCUUCUCAUAAUGAUGAUGAUGACGAGGUGAGGAUCCUGAUGGUGGGAAUCCGAGGUCAGUCCAGAUUCAGUGCUGCAGAUCUUCUGUCAGGAAGGAAAGACGGUGGACAGGAGGACAGAGAGAUUGUAAAGACUCCAGUAAUUACAGACGAGGCUCGUAGAAUGAUGCUGAUCACUGGACCGAACCUCUGUGAGGAGGACACAGAGAGACAGACCUUCAUAACAGCACUGUUUCUCUCGUCUCCUGGACCUCACGCCGUUCUAAUGCUCCUGAAUCUGGAAGAUCAACAAUCACAACAGUGUGAUAUUGUGAAACGAGCUCAGGAGCUGCUGGGAGCAGAAGUCCUGCAGUACUGCAUUGUUCUUCUGCUGCAAAAUCACCAGGAACCUUUCACAGGAGCCUCCAGAGAAAUGAUCGACGCAUGUGGAGGAAGAUUUCUCAUCAUAAGAGACUCUGAACCUAAACCUGCUCAAAGAGCAGCUCUCGUAGCAGAAAUACACAAGUUAGUUUGGCUCAACGAUCACAGAUUUUACUCAGUAGUGACUCAAGGGUUGGAUGCAGAAGAGUCCAGUCAAAGUGUGCAUGAAGAAAAUAAGAUGCUCCCUGAAAAACAUGACAAUUCAGCAGGAACUGCACGAUGGAUUUUACUAAUUUUACUGAACACUGCUUUUAUUUUCACUAAAGUAAGACAUGACCAUUUUCAUUUUGCGGAAAUACUCUUCGUGCUUGUUAUUUUUACCGUCACUUUAAGAGAGACUCUCAAUCCAGAUGUUUCUGUUCCUUUAAAUUUGAUUGUAUCCUCAACUUUCACAGUAGCCUCUGCAUAUAAAGACUUCGCAAAUUCACGACAUGGACACCAAAUCAUAAUGUUUUUAGUCAUGAUCUUUACAUUUCCCAGUAUAGUGUUCAUAGCCGGUCUAGGACUGACUGUAGGAACAGCGGUCAGUGUACGGACGUGGUCAGAUGUGAUCAUAGCGUGCCACGCUGCUCCCGGAGUCACAUUCGGGGCUCAUUUAUACACGGUUUACUCCAUUAUACCUGAUCAAAUGCAAGCUCGUACAACUCUCAUUUUUGCACUCAAGUUAUUCCUGUUCUGUUUCGUUGGAGUGAUGCUCUCGAUGGGGUUUGUGACUGUAUUUGCUCUGUUUGGAGUGAAGAUGACAAUAUUUCUGCUAAUAUUAGGAUUUACAAAAAUGUAUUUCCAUUUAAAGAGUCUUUCUCUGAAAUUGUUUAUUUUUUUCCUGCUUUUUCCAUGCUGUUGUGUAUUUAUUGGUUCUUUAAUUUCAUUUUUAUACAGUUUAUUAUUUCAUUAUAUUUUAACAGUAAUUUGAAACCGAUAAUAGUGACUAAAUCACAAGAGACACUUACAGAUUUUGGAUCAUAAGUUAAUGCUGAUAUUGAUAUUGAUGUUUCUUCAACUAUGGGUAUUUUUGGCACUGUGUACUUUCAGGAAAUAAUCACUCUUACAACCCAUCUUAUUUAAUUUCUUUACUAAUGAUCAUUUAACAUCAAUAAAGACAUCACAGGAAAAUCUUGAACA